UCGGGAAUUUUGGGCAAUGGGCGAAAGCCUGACCCAGCAACGCCGCGUGAGGGAUGAAGUAUUUCGGUAUGUAAACCUCGAAAGAAUGGGAAGAAUAAAUGACGGUACCAUUUAUAAGCUCCGGCUAAUUACGUGCCAGCAGCCGCGGUAAUACGUAGGGAGCAAGCGUUGUUCGGAUUUACUGGGCGUAAAGGGCGCGUAGGCGGCGCGGUAAGUCACUUGUGGAAUCUCUGAGCUUAACUCAGAACGGCCAAGUGAUACUGCUGUGCUAGAGUGCGGAAGAGGAAACCGGAAUUCUUGGUGUAGCGGUGAAAUGCGUAGAUAUCAAGAGGAACACCUGAGGCGAAGGCGGGUUGCUGGGCCGACACUGACGCUGAUGCGCGAAAGCCAGGGGAGCAAACG
This 402-nucleotide ribosomal RNA is filed under the name uncultured bacterium. Its description in RNAcentral is "bacterial SSU rRNA". It matches the Rfam family "Bacterial small subunit ribosomal RNA", at positions 355 to 774 of the family's 1533-position model. The record is from RNAcentral.